CUGACGGUAGUCGUAUGCUCGUCUCCGAGACUAAGCCAUGCAAGUCCAAGUACACGUCCUUGAACGACGGAAACUGCGAACGGCUCAUUAAAUCAGUUGCGAUCUACUCGGCGUUCCGCGCCGCCGGAUAACCGUAGUAAUUCUAGGGCUAAUACGUGCGAAGCGCCCGAAGCCGCGAGGCGACGGGCGUUCUCGCCGGAUGUAGGAACCGACCCGGGGACCGCCGGGGCAACCCGGCGCCCCCGAGACGGGGCGAACCACGGUGAAAUGACGGAUCGUCGGCCCCGCGCCGGCGACUCGCCGAAUGAGUUUCUGACCUAUCAACUCGAGACGGCGGGGUAGAGGCCCGCCGCGGUAACGACGGGUAACGGGGAAUCAGGGUUCGAUUCCGGAGAGGGAG
This 400-nucleotide ribosomal RNA is filed under the name uncultured eukaryote. Its description in RNAcentral is "bacterial SSU rRNA". It matches the Rfam family "Eukaryotic small subunit ribosomal RNA", at positions 14 to 394 of the family's 1831-position model. The record is from RNAcentral.